Molecule: long non-coding RNA, 1384 nt
Organism: Photinus pyralis (common eastern firefly)
Lineage: Eukaryota; Metazoa; Arthropoda; Insecta; Coleoptera; Lampyridae
Exons: 3
Source: RefSeq, a predicted model, not a curated record
GUUUUUCUUGCACUGAUAUCGUUGGGAACAAGAUUAAAAGCAUUAUCUCAAUGACCAAGACAUGAAUUUGAUGCAUUUUUGUUAACUAUGUGAGCAACCCUGGGUACGUUCCGGCUUUUGCCCACAGCCUCGGGUAGCGUCGGGAAAUAAUUGGCGAGCAAAGAAAAGUAAAAGUGUAUUGUCUAAAUAAAAAUAAAAAAAUAUAUAUAUACAAAAUAAAAUAAUAUAAAAGAUUUCCGGAGCAGUCCUCGUAUUUACUUGGGGAGUACUGCCCUCUGCCGGUAGCUAUCUGGCCCCAGCGUGUCAGCUGGUUUGCUGUCAAUGCCGUUUUCGUGUCGGACUAUUAGUAGGUUAAUUUCCACGUGCAGUGCUGUCUAGAAUGUAACAAAUUAAUUGAUGCGGGAUUGUGGGCUGCGCCACCCGAACGAGGUAACCAACAGAACCUGCGGGGUGAGUGUUCGAACUGUAACAACUAACCUUUCCCGUGACGGCUUUCAGCCCCUUAUGGUUAACGUAGGCGGGCGGGAGCACUGUGCCCCAGGUUCAGGCAGGACGGGGCGACGGGAAGAUACUACGGAGGUGUACUUCGUUUAAAACCAGGAGUCACGCUCCGAUUUUUGUUUUGAAGACACGGACAGUAACCCGUUCGCUAGGGAGUACACCUAGGAACUGGAAUUACUCGGGGAAUUGGGAACUGGUCAGAGUAAUAAAGGGCUAACGGCAACACACUCAACACAGGGAACGACAGGGGUGCAGGUUAACAAAGGUUUUACAGGUACUGGAACGACGGUUAAGGGUACAAAUUAUAUAGGAAUAAAUCACAGGUAAAUAAGGCUGGUUAAUAGCAAAAGGCACUGGUAAAGGUAGAAGCAAAAGUUACUGGACUGGACGGACACAGGUAUAUAUAUAUAUUUGAGCUCUGGUGGGGAAGACGAUUAGGAGGGGCGAAAUUAAGUAGAAAUAUCUGGGGGAAAUCUCAUUUACUGGUUUUGGGCAGAUUAUUUCCUUACCCUUAAUUUCGUUUCCUCACAUCUCUCCCCCCCUUCGGGUAGAGGAUUUGCUGGGGGAUAAAACAUUAAAGAUAUGGUGAUGUUCCCCUUUUAGAAUUAACCCCAUCUCGACGGCCGCUUUUCGGGGAAGACGUAGGAAGCUUCCUGGACCACCUCCAAGACUGACCCCCACGAGUACUCGGCGCUGGUUAGCCUUUGUACGGUGGGCCUGGCUACGGGACCGUCUUUUCUUCUUCCGGAUGGACACCGCAGGCUGCUGGAGAAGAGGGCUGGGAGUUGGCACGGUAGACAUACCAGGCAGCGGAGUUAUUCCCAAGUCCAAACUGGCCAAACGGUUCGCCGCUGUCUCACAGUCCAAGGCCCGGUUGCAUACA